Molecule: ribosomal RNA, 496 nt
Filed under: uncultured bacterium
Lineage: Bacteria
Description: partial 16S ribosomal RNA
Rfam family: Bacterial small subunit ribosomal RNA
Source: RNAcentral
AUUGAACGCUGGCGGAAUGCUUUACACAUGCAAGUCGAACGGUAGAGGGGGCAACCCCUCGAGAGUGGCGAACGGGUGAGUAAUAUAUCGGAACGUGCCCAGUCGUGUGGGAUAACGGAGCGAAAGUUACGCUAAUACCUCAUACGAUCUAAGGAUGAAAGCGGGGGAUCGCAAGACCUCGCGCGAUUGGAUCGGCCGAUAGCAGAUUAGGUAGUUGGUGGGGUAAAGGCUCACCAAGCCAACGAUCUUUAGCUGGUCUGAGAGGACGACCAGCCACACUGGAACUGAGACACGGUCCAGACUCCUACAGGAGGCAGCAGUGGGGAAUUUUGGACAAUGGACGCAAGUAUGAUCCAGCCAUUCCGCGUGCAGGAUGAAGGCCCUCGGGUUGUAAACUGCUUUUGUACGGAACGAAAAGGUCUCUCUUAAUACGGGGGGCUCAUGACGGUACCGUAAGAAUAAGCACCGGCUAACUACGUGCCAGCCGCCGCCGUAA